GGGGAAUUUUGGACAAUGGGCGCAAGCCUGAUCCAGCCAUUCCGCGUGCAGGAUGAAGGCCUUCGGGUUGUAAACUGCUUUUGUACGGAACGAAACGGCGAGCUCUAAUACAGUUUGCUAAUGACGGUACCGUAAGAAUAAGCACCGGCUAACUACGUGCCAGCAGCCGCGGUAAUACGUAGGGUGCAAGCGUUAAUCGGAAUUACUGGGCGUAAAGCGUGCGCAGGCGGUUAUAUAAGACAGAUGUGAAAUCCCCGGGCUCAACCUGGGAACUGCAUUUGUGACUGUAUGGCUAGAGUACGGCAGAGGGGGAUGGAAUUCCGCGUGUAGCAGUGAAAUGCGUAGAUAUGCGGAGGAACACCGAUGGCGAAGGCAAUCCCCUGGGCCUGUACUGACGCUCAUGCACGAAAGCGUGGGGAGCAAAC
This 425-nucleotide ribosomal RNA is filed under the name uncultured bacterium. RNAcentral's name for it is "bacterial SSU rRNA". It matches the Rfam family "Bacterial small subunit ribosomal RNA", at positions 356 to 773 of the family's 1533-position model. The record is from RNAcentral.